GCCCUUCCUAUCGCGGACCUGCGGGGCUAUAUGAAGAUUGCCGGCUGCAAAGCCGGAUAUGGCGAUAAACGGCGACCGAAAUAAACCAUUCGGACCCGGGGGCGGUACCCGGCGCCUCCACCCAAGGUCAGCGCGCUGGCCUUUGGCGGGGGCGAAACAGGAUCGACGAGGGCGUAAAGGGUCGGCUUUUGCUCGGCAUGGUUCCACCGUCAUCGGGCAUAGCAUAGUUGCCAAUGACAACAAUGCGCGUGUUGCAGUUGCCGCGUGAGCGGUAAUUACACACAAACCUAAGUCCUUGCGCUUCGCAGCGUAAGGCGGGGCCCGGAGGAGCCUGGCAACAGAAUCCUCCACC
RNAcentral lists this transfer-messenger RNA (352 nucleotides) under Phyllobacteriaceae bacterium. It matches the Rfam family "Alphaproteobacteria transfer-messenger RNA". Rfam says of the family: Bacterial tmRNA, also known as 10Sa RNA or SsrA, is named for its dual tRNA and mRNA-like properties. Its role is to liberate the mRNA from a stalled ribosome. Lineage: Bacteria; Pseudomonadati; Pseudomonadota; Alphaproteobacteria; Hyphomicrobiales; Phyllobacteriaceae. The record is from RNAcentral.